UUGCUGUGGUAUUUUGACUAUACAAAGGUAUUGUAAUAAGAUUUUAAUUGAAUGCUAAAAGAAUGGAAUCUCAGGGAAAGACUUUUUUAAUUUUAAAAAUUAAAGUUAUUUUAAUUUGUGAAGAAACAAUUAUAAUAAUUAAGGACAAGAAGACCCUAAGAAUUUUAAAUUUUUUAAAUAAAAAUAUUUUUAUAUAAAAAAUUUGGUUGGGGCAACCAAAAAAUAUUUUUAACUUUUUUUUGAAAAAAUGACCCAUUAUUAAUGAUAAUAUGAUUAAAUACUCUAGGGAUAACAGCGUAAUAAUUUUAGAUAGAACAUAUAGACAAAAUAGUUUGCGACCUCGAUGUUGGAUUAGGAUACUUUUUUAAUGAAGAUGUUAAAAAAAGGAGUUUGUUCAACUUUUAAAUUCCUACUUGAUCUGA
RNAcentral lists this ribosomal RNA (422 nucleotides) under Dermacentor atrosignatus. RNAcentral describes it as "partial large subunit ribosomal RNA". The stretch from base 288 to 422 matches the Rfam family "Archaeal large subunit ribosomal RNA", at positions 2542 to 2677 of the family's 2987-position model. The record is from RNAcentral. Lineage: Eukaryota; Metazoa; Arthropoda; Arachnida; Ixodida; Ixodidae.